RNAcentral lists this ribosomal RNA (396 nucleotides) under uncultured bacterium. Its description in RNAcentral is "bacterial SSU rRNA". It matches the Rfam family "Bacterial small subunit ribosomal RNA", at positions 28 to 414 of the family's 1533-position model. The record is from RNAcentral.
GACGAACGCUGGCGGCGUGCCUAAUACAUGCAAGUCGAGCGAAUUUACGAGAGCUUGCUCUCGUAAAUUAGCGGCGGACGGGUGAGUAACACGUGGGCAACCUGCCUAUAAGACUGGGAUAACUUCGGGAAACCGGAGCUAAUACCGGAUAAUUCACAUCUACUCAUGUAGAUGUGCUGAAAGACGGUUUACGCUGUCACUUAUAGAUGGGCCCGCGGCGCAUUAGCUAGUUGGUGAGGUAACGGCUCACCAAGGCCACGAUGCGUAGCCGACCUGAGAGGGUGAUCGGCCACACUGGGACUGAGACACGGCCCAGACUCCUACGGGAGGCAGCAGUAGGGAAUCUUGCGCAAUGGGCGAAAGCCUGACGCAGCGACGCCGCGUGAGGGAUGACGG